CCGGCCGCGGCAGUCCGGGGCUCAUAACCUGUUGACGCGCGCAGCCCGCGGGCAGUCCCUGCGGGCCGCGCGGCGCUAACGGGGUGUGGGACCCGGACUGACGCGGCCGG
Chlamydomonas reinhardtii is the source of this 110-nucleotide non-coding RNA. The record is from Rfam. Lineage: Eukaryota; Viridiplantae; Chlorophyta; Chlorophyceae; Chlamydomonadales; Chlamydomonadaceae.